UACUGAGGGGGCAAGCGUUGCUCGGACUUACUGGGCGUAAAGGGCGCGUAGGCGGCCCGCUACGUCGAACGUGAAAUCCCCGAGCUCAACUCGGGAACUGCGUCCGAUACUGGUGGGCUUGAAUCCGGGAGAGGGAUGCGGAAUUCCAGGUGUAGCGGUGAAAUGCGUAGAUAUCAGGAGGAACACCGGUGGCGAAGGCGGCCCUCUGGACGGUGACUGACGCUGAGACGCGAAAGCGUGGGGAGCAAACAGG
RNAcentral lists this ribosomal RNA (253 nucleotides) under uncultured bacterium. Its description in RNAcentral is "partial 16S ribosomal RNA". It matches the Rfam family "Bacterial small subunit ribosomal RNA", at positions 524 to 776 of the family's 1533-position model. The record is from RNAcentral.